UGCAAGUCGAGCGGGGAAGGGUAGCUUGCUACCUGACCUAGCGGCGGACGGGUGAGUAAUGCUUAGGAAUCUGCCUAUUAGUGGGGGACAACAUUCCGAAAGGAAUGCUAAUACCGCAUACGCCCUACGGGGGAAAGCAGGGGAUCUUCGGACCUUGCGCUAAUAGAUGAGCCUAAGUCAGAUUAGCUAGUUGGUGGGGUAAAGGCCUACCAAGGCGACGAUCUGUAGCGGGUCUGAGAGGAUGAUCCGCCACACUGGGACUGAGACACGGCCCAGACUCCUACGGGAGGCAGCAGUGGGGAAUAUUGGACAAUGGGCGCAAGCCUGAUCCAGCCAUGCCGCGUGUGUGAAGAAGGCCUUUUGGUUGUAAAGCACUUUAAGCGAGGAGGAGGCUACUUGGAUUAAUACUCUAGGAUAGUGGACGUUACUCGCAGAAUAAGCACCGGCUAACUCUGUGCCAGCAGCCGCGGUAAUACAGAGGGUGCGAGCGUUAAUCGGAUUUACUGGGCGUAAAGCGUGCGUAGGCGGCUUCUUAAGUCGGAUGUGAAAUCCCUGAGCUUAACUUAGGAAUUGCAUUCGAUACUGGGAAGCUAGAGUAUGGGAGAGGAUGGUAGAAUUCCAGGUGUAGCGGUGAAAUGCGUAGAGAUCUGGAGGAAUACCGAUGGCGAAGGCAGCCAUCUGGCCUAAUACUGACGCUGAGGUACGAAAGCAUGGGGAGCAAACAGGAUUAGAUACCCUGGUAGUCCAUGCCGUAAACGAUGUCUACUAGCCGUUGGGGCCUUUGAGGCUUUAGUGGCGCA
RNAcentral lists this ribosomal RNA (800 nucleotides) under Acinetobacter johnsonii. RNAcentral describes it as "bacterial SSU rRNA". It matches the Rfam family "Bacterial small subunit ribosomal RNA", at positions 56 to 850 of the family's 1533-position model. Lineage: Bacteria; Pseudomonadati; Pseudomonadota; Gammaproteobacteria; Moraxellales; Moraxellaceae. The record is from RNAcentral.